CCCCUAGAUGUUCUGGGCCGCACGCGCGCUACACUGAACAGUUCAACAAGUCUUAACCUUGGCCGAUAGGUCUGGGUAAUCUUUGAACGCUGUUCGUGACUGGGAUAGACCUUUGCAAUUAUGGGUCUUCAACGAGGAAUUCCUAGUAAACGCAAGUCAUCAGCUUGCAUUGAUUACGUCCCUGCCCUUUGUACACACCGCCCGUCGCACCUACCGAUUGAAUGGUCCGGUGAAAUCUCGGGACGGCGGCUUGGUCGCUUGCGUCCGACUGCUGAAACUUGAUUAAACCAUAUCAUUCAGAGGAAGGUGAAGUCGUANCA
RNAcentral lists this ribosomal RNA (320 nucleotides) under uncultured eukaryote. RNAcentral describes it as "partial 18S ribosomal RNA". It matches the Rfam family "Eukaryotic small subunit ribosomal RNA", at positions 1470 to 1796 of the family's 1831-position model. The record is from RNAcentral.